Molecule: ribosomal RNA, 1373 nt
Filed under: uncultured bacterium
Lineage: Bacteria
Description: bacterial SSU rRNA
Rfam family: Bacterial small subunit ribosomal RNA
Source: RNAcentral
GAUGAACGCUGGCGGCGUGCCUAAUACAUGCAAGUCGAGCGAACGGACGAGAAGCUUGCUUCUCUGAUGUUAGCGGCGGACGGGUGAGUAACACGUGGAUAACCUACCUAUAAGACUGGGAUAACUUCGGGAAACCGGAGCUAAUACCGGAUAAUAUUUUGAACCGCAUGGUUCAAAAGUGAAAGACGGUCUUGCUGUCACUUAUAGAUGGAUCCGCGCUGCAUUAGCUAGUUGGUAAGGUAACGGCUUACCAAGGCAACGAUGCAUAGCCGACCUGAGAGGGUGAUCGGCCACACUGGAACUGAGACACGGUCCAGACUCCUACGGGAGGCAGCAGUAGGGAAUCUUCCGCAAUGGGCGAAAGCCUGACGGAGCAACGCCGCGUGAGUGAUGAAGGUCUUCGGAUCGUAAAACUCUGUUAUUAGGGAAGAACAUAUGUGUAAGUAACUGUGCACAUCUUGACGGUACCUAAUCAGAAAGCCACGGCUAACUACGUGCCAGCAGCCGCGGUAAUACGUAGGUGGCAAGCGUUAUCCGGAAUUAUUGGGCGUAAAGCGCGCGUAGGCGGUUUUUUAAGUCUGAUGUGAAAGCCCACGGCUCAACCGUGGAGGGUCAUUGGAAACUGGAAAACUUGAGUGCAGAAGAGGAAAGUGGAAUUCCAUGUGUAGCGGUGAAAUGCGCAGAGAUAUGGAGGGAACACCAGUGGCGAAGGCGACUUUCUGGUCUGUAACUGACGCUGAUGUGCGAAAGCGUGGGGAUCAAACAGGAUUAGAUACCCUGGUAGUCCACGCCGUAAACGAUGAGUGCUAAGUGUUAGGGGGUUUCCGCCCCUUAGUGCUGCAGCUAACGCAUUAAGCACUCCGCCUGGGGAGUACGACCGCAAGGUUGAAACUCAAAGGAAUUGACGGGGACCCGCACAAGCGGUGGAGCAUGUGGUUUAAUUCGAAGCAACGCGAAGAACCUUACCAAAUCUUGACAUCCUUUGACAACUCUAGAGAUAGAGCCUUCCCCUUCGGGGGACAAAGUGACAGGUGGUGCAUGGUUGUCGUCAGCUCGUGUCGUGAGAUGUUGGGUUAAGUCCCGCAACGAGCGCAACCCUUAAGCUUAGUUGCCAUCAUUAAGUUGGGCACUCUAAGUUGACUGCCGGUGACAAACCGGAGGAAGGUGGGGAUGACGUCAAAUCAUCAUGCCCCUUAUGAUUUGGGCUACACACGUGCUACAAUGGACAAUACAAAGGGCAGCGAAACCGCGAGGUCAAGCAAAUCCCAUAAAGUUGUUCUCAGUUCGGAUUGUAGUCUGCAACUCGACUACAUGAAGCUGGAAUCGCUAGUAAUCGUAGAUCAGCAUGCUACGGUGAAUACGUUCCCGGGUCU